UCAAAAGUCAAGUCGGGGGCUGCAAAGCCCUCGUCUACACCCAUGUCUUUUGCGUACUUCUUGUUUCCUCGGUGGCGCAAGCCGCCGAUUGGACAAACCAAAGCCUUUUUUGUAAUUGCAAUCAGCGUCUGAAAAUAAUCUAACUAUUUA
This 150-nucleotide unclassified non-coding RNA is filed under the name soil metagenome. Its description in RNAcentral is "partial internal transcribed spacer 1". The record is from RNAcentral.